GAUGAACGCUGGCGGCGUGCUUAACACAUGCAAGUCGAACGAUGAAGCCCAGCUUGCUGGGUGGAUUAGUGGCGAACGGGUGAGUAACACGUGAGUAACCUGCCCUUAACUCUGGGAUAAGCCUGGGAAACUGGGUCUAAUACCGGAUAGGAGCGCCUACCGCAUGGUGGGUGUUGGAAAGAUUUAUCGGCUUUGGAUGGACUCGCGGCCUAUCAGCUUGUUGGUGAGGUAAUGGCUCACCAAGGCGACGACGGGUAGCCGGCCUGAGAGGGUGACCGGCCACACUGGGACUGAGACACGGCCCAGACUCCUACGGGAGGCAGCAGUGGGGAAUAUUGCACAAUGGGCGAAAGCCUGAUGCAGCGACGCCGCGUGAGGGAUGACGGCCUUCAGGUUGUAAACCUCUUUCAGUAGGGAAGAAGCGAAAGUGACGGUACCUGCAGAAGAAGCACCGGCUAACUACGUG
RNAcentral lists this ribosomal RNA (466 nucleotides) under uncultured bacterium. Its description in RNAcentral is "partial 16S ribosomal RNA". It matches the Rfam family "Bacterial small subunit ribosomal RNA", at positions 28 to 507 of the family's 1533-position model. The record is from RNAcentral.